UUAGUUAUACCAAUGGAUUUU
Molecule: small nuclear RNA, 21 nt
Filed under: Arabidopsis thaliana (thale cress)
Lineage: Eukaryota; Viridiplantae; Streptophyta; Magnoliopsida; Brassicales; Brassicaceae
Description: snRNA_04879
Source: RNAcentral